GAUGAAGAACGCAGCGAAAUGCGAUAAGUAGUGUGAAUUGCAGAAUUCAGUGAAUCAUCGAAUCUUUGAACGCACAUUGCGCCCCUUGGUAUUCCAUGGGGCAUGCCUGUUCGAGCGUCAUUUGUACCUUCAAGCUUUGCUUGGUGUUGGGUGUUUGUCUCGCCUUUGCGUGUAGACUCGCCUUAAAAUAAUUGGCAGCCGGCGUAUUGAUUUCGGAGCGCAGUAUAUCUCGCGCUUUGCACUCAUAACGACAGCGUCCAAAAGUACAUUUUACACUCUUGACCUCGGAUCAGGUAGGGAUACCCGCUGAACUUAAGCAUAUCAAUAAGCGGAGGA
This 336-nucleotide unclassified non-coding RNA is filed under the name soil metagenome. RNAcentral's name for it is "partial contains 5.8S ribosomal RNA, internal transcribed spacer 2, and large subunit ribosomal RNA". The stretch from base 1 to 120 matches the Rfam family "5.8S ribosomal RNA", at positions 35 to 154 of the family's 154-position model. The record is from RNAcentral.